CCUACGGGAGGCUGCAGUAACGAAUCUUCCGCAAUGCACGCAAGUGUGACGGAGCGACGCCGCGUGUAGGAUGAAGUCCUUCGGGAUGUAAACUACUGUCAGGGGAAAGAAAGUUCUGAUCUACCCCAGAGGAAGAGACGGCUAACUCUGUGCCAGCAGCCGCGGUAAUACAGAGGUCUCGAGCGUUAGGCGGAAUCACUGGGCUUAAAGCGUGUGUAGGCGGAUCGUUAAGUGCCUUGUGAAAUCCCACGGCUCAACCGUGGAACUGCUUGGCAUACUGGCGGUCUUGAGCAACCUAGGGGCGAGCGGAACAAAUGGUGGAGCGGUGAAAUGCGUAGAUAUCAUUUGGAACGCCAAUGGUGAAAACAGCUCGCUGGGGGUUUGCUGACGCUGAGACACGAAAGCCAGGGGAGCAAACGGGAUUAGAUACCCUGGUAGUC
RNAcentral lists this ribosomal RNA (440 nucleotides) under uncultured bacterium. RNAcentral's name for it is "bacterial SSU rRNA". It matches the Rfam family "Bacterial small subunit ribosomal RNA", at positions 338 to 795 of the family's 1533-position model. The record is from RNAcentral.